CAUGAAGCUGGAAUCGCUAGUAAUCGCGGAUCAGAAUGCCGCGGUGAAUACGUUCCCGGGUCUUGUACACACCGCCCGUCACACCAUGGGAGUCGGGAAUGCCCGAAGUCAGUGGCCCAACCGGAAGGGGGGAGCUGCCGAAGGCAGGCCCGGUGACUGGGGUGAAGUCGUAACAAGGUAUC
Molecule: ribosomal RNA, 182 nt
Filed under: uncultured bacterium
Lineage: Bacteria
Description: partial 16S ribosomal RNA
Rfam family: Bacterial small subunit ribosomal RNA
Source: RNAcentral